Molecule: long non-coding RNA, 296 nt
Filed under: Setaria italica (foxtail millet)
Lineage: Eukaryota; Viridiplantae; Streptophyta; Magnoliopsida; Poales; Poaceae
Description: long non-coding RNA (SITA_LNC007044)
Source: RNAcentral
GCUUGAAUAACAAGAAGGUAGAGAUUGGAGAAACUAUAGCAGAAAAGAUCCUUGAGUUGCAACCUGAAGACAUAGGUGUCCUUGCGCUGGUCUCAAAUCUCUAUGCUGCUGCAAAGAAGUGGGACAAGGUCAGGGAGGUUAGGAAGCUAAUGAAGAAUAGCGGCAGCAGGAAAAUACCUGGCUAUAGCUUGGUCGAGGUGCGUGGAACACGUCACUCGUUUGUGAUGGAAGACCAGAGCCACCCUCAGCACCAGGAGAUCCUGAAAAUGGUCGCGAAGCUUGAUUCCGAGAUGAAG